UCCUACGGGAGGCAGCAGUAAGGAAUAUUGGUCAUGGAGGCACUCUGAACCAGCCAUGCCGCGUGGAGGAUGAAGGUCCUCUGGAUUGUAAACUUCUUUUAUACGGGACGAAAAAAGGGUUUUCUAACUCGUCUGACGGUACCGUAUGAAUAAGCACCGGCUAACUCCGUGCCAGCAGCCGCGGUAAUACGGAGGGUGCAAGCGUUAUCCUGGAUUCACUGGGUUUAAAGGGUGCGUAGGUGGGUUGGUAAGUCAGUGGUGAAAUCCCCGAGCUUAACUUGGGAACUGCCAUUGAUACUAUCAGUCUUGAAUACCGUGGAGGUCGGCGGAAUAUAUCAUGUAGCGGUGAAAUGCUUAGAUAUGACAUAGAACACCAAUUGCGAAGGCAGCUGGCUACGCGGAUAUUGACACUGAGGCACGAAAGCGUGGGGAUCAAACAGGAUUAGAUACCCUGGUAGUCCACGCCCUAAACUAUGGAUACUCGACAUUUGCUGAUAAACUGUAAGUGUCUGAGCGAAAGCAUAAGUAUCCCACGCUGGGAAGUACGAUCGCAAGAUUGAAACUYAAAGGAAUUGACGG
RNAcentral lists this ribosomal RNA (579 nucleotides) under uncultured bacterium. RNAcentral describes it as "bacterial SSU rRNA". It matches the Rfam family "Bacterial small subunit ribosomal RNA", at positions 337 to 916 of the family's 1533-position model. The record is from RNAcentral.